Hylaeus anthracinus is the source of this 1455-nucleotide RNA transcript. It is a transcript of the gene named odorant receptor 22c-like, with no coding region annotated. Lineage: Eukaryota; Metazoa; Arthropoda; Insecta; Hymenoptera; Colletidae. The record is from RefSeq and is a predicted model, not a curated record. The transcript is spliced from 5 exons.
AGAUGCUAAGUCCAGUGACAACCUUAACGAAAGGUCAUAUAAUAGAACACGAUUUGGAGAAAUAUGUAGAUCUCAGCAUUCAGUGGAGUCGGUGGCUCCUAAAACCGUACGGGAUGUGGCCAAAUUUAUCUGACACUACACGGAUAGAUAAAUAUUUCAGUUGGAUCCUGAUUGUGAUAUGUUGCAUUAUAAUGAGUUUCUUCUGCGUACCAUGUACUUUGUACAUAUUCUUAGACGCAGAAGACGUCUACGACAGAAUCAAACACUUGGGCCCAUUGACUUUCUGUGUGACGGCGUAUAUGAAAUUCUACGCGGUAAUCGCUCGCGGAGAUGAUAUUCGCGAGUGCAUCGAGUGUAUCGAAAGAGACUGGUUCAACAUAAAGUACUCGGAGGACCGAAACAUUAUGAUAGCGAAAGCGAAUUACGGAAAGCGAAUUUCAAAAAUAUGCGCCCUUUUUAUGUACAGCGGUGCCGCUUUUUAUUAUAUUUUAAUACCAAUCAAAGUCGGCAAGAUCGAGAUAGAAGGCGAAAAUACUACCUUCAUUCCGAUUGCGAUGCCUUUCCCGAGACAAAUAUUCGAUACUCGUUACAGUCCGAUUAACGAGAUCGUAUUCGUAAUACAGGUUUUAGGAGGGUUCCUGAUGCACGCAGUUUCAGCUGGCGUUUGCAGCUUGAUAGCUACUUUCGCGCUCCACAUUUGUGGUCAAAUGGAAAUUCUAUCGUCCUGGCUUGAACAUUUGGUAGACGGUCGAUCAGACAUGUGUAAAACCGUGGAUGGUAGAAUUGGAAGCAUUGUGAAUCAACACGUUCGAAUAAUCAAAUAUUUGUCUCUCCUAGAGAAGACAAUGUCACGAAUAUCUCUCAUCGAAGUCGCGGGACGUACAUUAGACAUGUGCCUUGUGGGAUAUUAUGUUAUCAUGGAAUGGCAUUCGAAGAACAUGACCGCUACUGUAACGUAUACCAUAAUAUUUACAUCGGUUCUCUUCAAUAUCUUCAUAUUUUGUUAUAUAGGCGAACUCGUCGACGAACAGGACAUAAAAGAGAAAAGAGAUCUUGUAAUAGUGUGCAAUGAUUGGCGAAACGUCUUAUAUGAUCGAGUGGCAUCGAUUACCAAAGAGGAAGCAACUUAGCAUGAUCUUAAUAAUUGCGAUGUCUAAUGCCGCGUCAAAGCUCACAGCUGGAAGUGUCAUCAUGUUAUCCCUCGACAGUUUCAGUUCCGUUGUUAAAACAGCAUUCGCUUUUCUAAAUAUGUUGAGAACUGUGGCUGUGGCUUAAAAAUUGGAUUGUAUGUUACGAAAUUAGUAAGAGUGUUGUACUAUUCUAACAAGCAUUUUUAUCAUUGAUUAGAUUUAUUGGUUAAUUUGAAAUUAACGAGAAUGACAUUUUGGACAAUUCCUUAUUUUGUCGAUGAAUUUUCAAAGUUUUUAUUUUACUCAAUGUCUCUGCUGCACAAUG